Molecule: ribosomal RNA, 229 nt
Filed under: uncultured bacterium
Lineage: Bacteria
Description: partial 16S ribosomal RNA
Rfam family: Bacterial small subunit ribosomal RNA
Source: RNAcentral
UGCGUAGGCGGUUUGGAAAGUCUGAUGUGAAAUCCUGCAGCUUAACUGUAGAACUGUUAUUGAUACUGGUUUUCUUGAAUAUAGUUGAGGUAGGCGGAAUGUGUAAUGUAGCGGUGAAAUGCUUAGAUAUUACACAGAACACCGAUUGCGAAGGCAGCUUACUAAGCUAUGAUUGACGCUGAGGUACGAAAGCGUGGGGAGCGAACAGGAUUAGAUACCCUGGUAGUCC